AGUGAACGCUGGCGGUAGGCCUAACACAUGCAAGUCGAACGGCAGCACAGUAAGAGCUUGCUCUUACGGGUGGCGAGUGGCGGACGGGUGAGGAAUACAUCGGAAUCUACUUUUCGUGGGGGAUAACGUAGGGAAACGUACGCUAAUACCGCAUACGACUGACGGGUGAAAGCAGGUGAUAUUCGUAGCUUGUGCGGUUGAAUGAGCCGAUGUCGUAUUAGCUAGGUGGGGGGGUAAAUGCCCACCAAGGCGACGAGUAGUAGCUGGUCGGGGAGGAUGAGCGGCCACCUUGGAAGUUGGACACGGUCCAGACUCCUACGGUAGGCCGCAGUGGGGAAUGUUAGGCAAUGGGCGAAAGCCUGAUCCAGCCAUACCGCGUGGGUGAAGACGGCCUUCGGGUUGUAAAGCCCUUUUGUUGGGAAAGAAAAGCAGCAGGUUGAUACCCCGCUGUUCUGACGGUAACCAAAGAAUAAGCACCGGCUAACUUCGUG
This 491-nucleotide ribosomal RNA is filed under the name uncultured bacterium. RNAcentral's name for it is "partial 16S ribosomal RNA". It matches the Rfam family "Bacterial small subunit ribosomal RNA", at positions 29 to 507 of the family's 1533-position model. The record is from RNAcentral.